RNAcentral lists this ribosomal RNA (497 nucleotides) under uncultured bacterium. RNAcentral's name for it is "partial 16S ribosomal RNA". It matches the Rfam family "Bacterial small subunit ribosomal RNA", at positions 28 to 507 of the family's 1533-position model. The record is from RNAcentral.
GAUGAACGCUGGCGGCGUGCCUAAUACAUGCAAGUCGAGCGAACAGACGAGGAGCUUGCUCCUCUGACGUUAGCGGCGGACGGGUGAGUAACACGUGGAUAACCUACCUAUAAGACUGGGAUAACUUCGGGAAACCGGAGCUAAUACCGGAUAAUAUAUUGAACCGCAUGGUUCAAUAGUGAAAGACGGUUUUGCUGUCACUUAUAGAUGGAUCCGCGCCGCAUUAGCUAGUUGGUAAGGUAACGGCUUACCAAGGCAACAAUGCGUAGCCGACCUGAGAGGGUGAUCGGCCACACUGGAACUGAGACACGGUCCAGACUCCUACGGGGGGCAGCAGUAGGGAAUCUUCCGCAAUGGGCGAAGGCCUGACGGGGCAACGCCGGGGGAGUGAUGAAGGUCUUCGGAUCGUAAAACUCUGUUAUUAGGGAAGAACAAAUGUGUAAGUAACUAUGCACGUCUUGACGGUACCUAAUCAGAAAGCCACGGCUAACUACGUG